Molecule: long non-coding RNA, 485 nt
Organism: Ctenocephalides felis (cat flea)
Lineage: Eukaryota; Metazoa; Arthropoda; Insecta; Siphonaptera; Pulicidae
Exons: 3
Source: RefSeq, a predicted model, not a curated record
GGUCGUUUUCAAUGCAAAUUUUGUUCAUGUAUUGUGAUAAUUGAUUUAUCAUAUAAUAAUUGAAAUUUCUAACGUCAAAAACAUAACCUCAAUCUAUUGAUAUAUGAAUAUUAACAUAGAUAAGAGCAGUAAGAUAUAUGAAAGAAUGAUGGAGUACUGAUAACCCCUAUGAAAAUGGAUUUCAAACUAGGGAAAUUUGCUCCAAUCAAGAAGGUAAAUACAAAGUUAGAUAAAAUACUGGAAAAUGUUAUUGUCGCCAAAGAGACAAGCAAGACUUGGAAACAUGCAAGAGGAAAAUAGAAAGAAAAAAGAAGUUGAAGAGAAAAUGAUCUAUUGAGUAUUUCUUAAAUGAUCUUAUGUUACAGAAUUGGAAAUUUACAUCUUGAAAAUUAAGAGGAUUAAUUAAGAAAUCAAUGCAACAAACUUAUCGAGUGUUUGUUCAUAAUUAGCUGGCAUAUGUUCUUGAUAUGAUCGUAAGGAUUACA